RNAcentral lists this transfer RNA (82 nucleotides) under Canis lupus familiaris (dog). It matches the Rfam family "tRNA". From Rfam's summary of the family: Transfer RNA (tRNA) molecules are approximately 80 nucleotides in length. RNAcentral also lists the same sequence under 1 other name. Lineage: Eukaryota; Metazoa; Chordata; Mammalia; Carnivora; Canidae. The record is from Rfam by way of RNAcentral.
GCCUGGUUGGCUCAGUGGUUGAGCAUCUGCCUUUGGCUCAGGGCAUGACCCUGGGUCCCGGGAUCCAGUCCUGCAUCAGGCU